This 156-nucleotide small RNA is filed under the name Arabidopsis thaliana (thale cress). Its description in RNAcentral is "ATSL259020". The record is from RNAcentral. Lineage: Eukaryota; Viridiplantae; Streptophyta; Magnoliopsida; Brassicales; Brassicaceae.
AUUAUUAAUAUUUAAACAUAAAAAAAUCAAAAUAUCAUGAGACGAGAAGUAUAGCAGGACGGGUUUGGAUUGAUAUGAAAUACAGCGAGACGGGUUUGGAUUGAUAUAACACAUGUUAAAUAUUUAUUUUAUUAUUUUAUCAUCACUAAUUUUUUU